CGUAGGAUCGCAACUCCAAGAUCUGCUGAUUUUAGCCAACAAGCAGUCAAUUGUCCAUCCCAGAAGCUGAAAAGAAAAUCCUGAACUUGGGCAGUACUGUAGCAACCAGGUUGAUUUGUAGAGGGGCAGGUCACUACAGGGAAGGAAUUGGGAGGAGAAACUCGAGGGUUUGAGUCGCCUAUGGAAGGGCAAACGGUGCCCAGAAUAUCAGACCAAACGAAUCACUAACGGUAGAGACUGAUCAACUCCUUUGUAGCUAGGCAGAAGAACAGUGAUAGAAAAUAUGGAAUAAAAGUGGAAAAGAAAGAAGACGAAAUAAAGGGAAAGAGAGGAGGGGAGCAUGCACGGCAGCCAUGGUUUCAUCCAAAAUACUCAUUCAAUUUCAAUCAAUUCAAGUCUCUUCGUUAGCUUGCUACUAACACUUUAGAACGGGUUUCUCCACUUACACAUGCAGUUGGAAAUGUGUUGAAGAGAGUGUUUGUUAUAGGGUUCUCCAUUGUGGUAUUUGGCAAUAAGAUCUCCACACAGACUGGCAUUGGUACAGUCAUAGCAAUUGCAGGUGUUGCCAUCAUUCACUUAUCAAGGCAAAUAUGGAAGAACAAAAACGAGUAAGAUUUCAGCAACGCUGGUUUUGCUUUAUGCAUUGCCUAACAUCAUUUCACAUAAUAC
This is a long non-coding RNA of Macadamia integrifolia, 669 nucleotides long. RefSeq lists it as uncharacterized. The transcript is spliced from 3 exons. NCBI's taxonomy places the organism in Eukaryota, Viridiplantae, Streptophyta, Magnoliopsida, Proteales, Proteaceae. The record is from RefSeq and is a predicted model, not a curated record.